RNAcentral lists this long non-coding RNA (327 nucleotides) under Capsicum annuum. Its description in RNAcentral is "long non-coding RNA (CANN_LNC008949)". Lineage: Eukaryota; Viridiplantae; Streptophyta; Magnoliopsida; Solanales; Solanaceae. The record is from RNAcentral.
AGCUCGUUCUCCCGUUUUGCUGCCCUUAAAGAGGUAAAUCUACUCUCACUUUUUAAUUUAUCAUUUUGUUCAUCUCUUUUCUUCAUAGCAAUAGUGGUUUAGUCGUAAGUGUGAAUGAGGCUGGGAAUGUGCGAUGUAGAGGCUUUGAAAGCCAUAGGAUUUGUAUGUGAUACGAGUUGUUAUGCUGCUUGUUUGAAUUAAUGUUCCCCUUUUGCUGUACUGAUUUCAUUGUAGUAGCUCUUUCCACUUGUAUCUGUCAUGCAUGUUGUUACUGAAGACUGUUAUCUGUUUUCAUUAUGAUAGUGAAUAUAUUCUGAGAUAUAGGAC